Long non-coding RNA from Nerophis ophidion (straightnose pipefish), 1565 nucleotides. RefSeq lists it as uncharacterized. NCBI's taxonomy places the organism in Eukaryota, Metazoa, Chordata, Actinopteri, Syngnathiformes, Syngnathidae. The record is from RefSeq and is a predicted model, not a curated record. The transcript is spliced from 2 exons.
UUCCUCUUCUUCCAUUCUUCUCUAAAAGAAAAAUGACUUUAAUGUAAACUUCUCUUCUCUUUACUCAAACAAUUGCUUGCUCCUUCUUUUGUUUUUUUUAAACCGAGCUCUCUCUACUUCUCUCCUGCCUUCCCACAGUGACUAUCAACAAAGUUCUCUAGGUCCAAAGUUGCAGUCCAGUCCAGUUCUCUACUUCCCCGUGCCCGCUUGCUCUGAAGAUCAGGCUGGCACUGAACUCUUCUGCUGCCAGAACCACUUUCUCCACACGCUCAGCCUGCGCAUAAGUGAAGCUACUUAAAUGCCAAGAGGGGUGUCACCUUACUGUGCCAUCUUUUCUGCAGCGUCACAGGGACUCUGGAGGCAGCGGACAUGUACCGACAGGCACCUGUCCAGGCGCAACUGCAGCGUUCAUUCACAUACUGAUGGCGGGAGCUGCAAUGCAAGGCGCUAACCAGGAUCCAUCAGGAGCAAGGGUGAAGUGUAUUGCCCAAGGACACGACGGACGUGACUAGGAUGGUAAAAGGUGGGGAUUGAACCAGUAACCCUCAGAUUGCUGGCACGGCGACUCUUCAAACUUCGCCACGCUGUCCCCCGUGGGGAAAGAAUGGAUCGUGAGAUCGACAGACAGACUGGUGCGGAAUCUUCAAUAAUGCGGACGCGGUAUCGAUCCGUUGUGGUGAAGAAAGAGCGGAGCCGGAAGGCAAAGCUCUCAAUUUACCGGUCGAUCUACUUUCCCAUCCUCACCUAUGGUCAUGAGCUUUGGGUUAUGACCGAAAGGACAAGAUCACGGGUUCAAGCGGCCCAAAUGAGUUUCCUCUGCCGGGUGGCGGGGCGCUCCCUUAGAGAUAGGGUGAGAAGCUCUGUCAUCCGGGAGGAGCUCAAAGUAAAGGUGCUGCCCCUCCACAUGGAGAGGAUGCCAGAUGAGCUGGUUUAGGUCAUGUCUGACCGGGAGGAGGCCACAGGGAAGACCCAGGACACGUUUGGAAGAGGAUGUCCCCCGGCUGGCCUGGGAAUGCCUCAGGAUCCCCCGGGAGGAACUGGACCAAGUGGCUGGGGAGAGGGAAGUCUGGGCUUCCCUGCUUAGGCUGCAGAUAAGCAUAAGAAGAUGGAUGGAUGGAUGGAUAGAAUGUAAUAACCAGCGAGUCAGCAAUAUUUUGGUACUAGAAUGUGAUAACCAGUGAGUCAGCAAUAUUGUGUUAGCGUUGUAGUGAAAGCAGCUUCCAAACAUCUGCAGAGAUGAUCCUGCUGCACACAUGAAUGAUAUCCUGUCAUAUUACAACCUGCAGCGCUGCAGCUUUCAGCUUAGUGCAACAUUAUCAGCACUGCAAAGAAUGCCAGCAUGCAUUCAAAAGGACACCAGAAAAUCCUCACACACACACACACACGCACGCACGCACACACGCACACAAAUAAGCAAAAUCACUGACAGAUUCAAUGUAACCAUAACAACUAUUUGACUAAUCCUCACAUUAUGAUCUCAUAAAGACAGCUGAGUCAUGCAAAUAUGAAUAUGAAUAUGGAGCACACACACACACACACACACAAUAAAUCUGUUUUUCCUCUGA